AUUGAACGCUGGCGGCAGGCCUAACACAUGCAAGUCGAGCGAGCGGCGGACGGGUGAGUAAUGUAUGGGGAACUGCCCGAUAGAGGGGGAUAACUACUGGAAACGGUGGCUAAUACCGCAUACUAUCGGAUGAACCCAUAUGGGAUUAGCUAGUAGGUGGGGUAAAGGCUCACCUAGGCGACGAGCUCUAGCUGGUCUGAGAGGAUGACCAGCCACACUGGGACUGAGACACGGCCCAGACUCCGACGUGAGGCAGCAGUGGGGAAGAUUGCACAAUGGGCGCAAGCCUGAUGCAGCCAUGCCGCGUGUAUGAAGAAGGCCUUAGGGUUGGAAAGUACUUUCAGCGGGGAGGCGUUACCCGCAGAAGAAGCACCGGCUAACUCCGGGCCAGCCGCCGCGGUAAUAC
Molecule: ribosomal RNA, 406 nt
Filed under: uncultured bacterium
Lineage: Bacteria
Description: partial 16S ribosomal RNA
Rfam family: Bacterial small subunit ribosomal RNA
Source: RNAcentral